RNAcentral lists this ribosomal RNA (400 nucleotides) under uncultured bacterium. Its description in RNAcentral is "bacterial SSU rRNA". It matches the Rfam family "Bacterial small subunit ribosomal RNA", at positions 356 to 773 of the family's 1533-position model. The record is from RNAcentral.
GGGGAAUCUUGCGCAAUGGGCGAAAGCCUGACGCAGCAACGCCGCGUGGGGGAUGAAGGCUCUCGGGUUGUAAACCCCUUUCAGCAGGGACGAAAUUGACGGUACCUGCAGAAGAAGCCCCGGCUAACUACGUGCCAGCAGCCGCGGUAACACGUAGGGGGCAAGCGUUGUCCGGAUUUAUUGGGCGUAAAGAGCUCGUAGGUGGCUAAGUAAGUCGGGUGUCAAAUCCCCAGGCUCAACCUGGGUCUCCACUCGAUACUGCUUUGGCUAGAGUCCGGUAGGGGAGCGUGGAAUUCCUGGUGUAGCGGUGAAAUGCGCAGAUAUCAGGAGGAACACCAGCGGCGAAGGCGGCGCUCUGGGCCGGUACUGACACUGAGGAGCGAAAGCGUGGGUAGCAAAC